This 18-nucleotide ribosomal RNA is filed under the name Strombidium sp. HZ-2009b. RNAcentral's name for it is "partial large subunit ribosomal RNA". The record is from RNAcentral. Lineage: Eukaryota; Ciliophora; Spirotrichea; Strombidiidae. RNAcentral also lists the same sequence under 1 other name.
GGCUCAGGUGGGACCACC